RNAcentral lists this ribosomal RNA (473 nucleotides) under Astathelohania virili. RNAcentral describes it as "partial small subunit ribosomal RNA". The record is from RNAcentral. Lineage: Eukaryota; Fungi; Microsporidia; Astathelohaniidae.
CUUCAUAUGUCGUUGUUAACUUUACAUAUUACUAGGAAUUCCUUGUUCAUACCAUAUUUACAUAAUAGUAAUCCCAACUCCUUAGAAAAUUAUAAACUUUCUAUUGUAGUGCGCGUGUUGCCCAUUUCAUUUAAGGGCAUCUCUGACCUGUUAUCGCCCACUCCUUCCUAUGGCUUACACCAUCCGUCUACUAACCUUUAUAUAAAUCAGUACGUGGGUCUCACACAUUGGUGGAUUUAACAUAAUAAAUAUCAAAAUUCACAUCACGCAUUGUUAACGGCCAUGCACCACUCAUAGUAAAUGAGUCUAUCCAUAAAUGAAUCACACAUAGUAAUGAUAAGUUGUCUUCAACACAUAUUAAACAUACCCACUCCUGGUGUGUCCUUCCGUCAAUUUCAUUUAAGUUUAAAACUUGCGUUCGUACUAUCCCCAAAGUUCAUAAUAUCUUAAUUUCUAUAUAUCCACACUACAAC